Myodes glareolus (Bank vole) is the source of this 1003-nucleotide RNA transcript. RefSeq lists it as uncharacterized. NCBI's taxonomy places the organism in Eukaryota, Metazoa, Chordata, Mammalia, Rodentia, Cricetidae. The record is from RefSeq and is a predicted model, not a curated record.
GUGGAGGACGAAAGGCGUGGAAGGGGGAGGGACCAUCGUGCGAAAAUGCCCCUUCGAGUUUGGUUCUUCACUUUUUAAAGAUUUGAAGUGAUUGUCUCCCGUCCACCUAACUGGAGCCUUUCUAGUCCCCUCUUUUAGAGGGUGAAGACUUCACCUUUUAGCCUCUGGUCUUAGAUCCGAGGCAGUGGCGCUGGAAGAUAACAGGAAAGCGGUAAAAGUUUCACGAUUAAUCACUAGAGAAGACCCUCACGAGAAUACCACCGAACACCUCCCUCAAAGACACAGCCCCUUGAAAUGUAUCUUUCUCAGAAAAAUACUCAAAACUGUCCAAAGGUAAACACGUAUCACCCCACCCCUAUACACACAAAUGCGCGCGCCGCUCGUCAAACUCAGAGUGAAAAGGAGUUGCUGGAAAAACAGCAGCAAGAACCCCAAUUUGUAAAAAUGCAAAUUGAUGAAUGUGAAAUCAUAGUAAAAAACGAGGCAGCGCCAUACGCGGGGGAGGGGCCGCUGGAUCUUGCAGCGUUGGGCAGUCCCUCCUCCCCUGACAGUACAGCAAUUCUUUCCACCUCUGCCCAGAAAGCUCCAGGAUCGCACACUCACUCCCAGGUCUCUGCUGAACCCGCCUGUGCUGACCACCGCGGUGCGAGCUGUACCUUCGUGGUGCAGCUCCAGCGGGCAGGCCUGCAAGAGGAGCUAUGAGCUUGGAAAAGGGAGAGCUGUGCCCAUGGAUGCUGCUGAGCCUGAGCCGGCACAUUGCUUGAAAUUCAUAACUACACACAUAUGGAUCACAGUGUUUAGAAGAAAAUUCUACUCUUCUAAAAUACUGAAUGCAAAAUUAAAGUCUGACACUGCAAGCAGAACUGGAAGAAAUGAAAUGGAAUAUUAAGUAUGGCCUUUUAAAGUAUUGUUAACAGCUAAUGUGUGCAUUUUGCCUGAAGAAUAAAAUAAUGUCAUUGAUGUAUCUUGAAUUCUGAUUUAUUUUGGUAAGUUACUUUGAAAU